GUGUUGUGGUUCACGCUUGCGCAAAUAGAAGAAGAAAGAAAAUGUUCACGUGCUGCACAAAUGGAACUAAAUGGGAAAGCAAUGUAGAAUUGAUUAUUGCUGGCUUGGGAGUAGUUAUAAGAAACUCCAGGGGAAGGGUUGUGGCAGUAGCAGUUCAAAAUGUUCCAUUUCGAAGCACUGUAGCUAGUAUGGAAGCUGAAGCUGUUUUGUUUGGAAUUGAAACUGCUCAACAGGUGGAUUAUUGCAGAAAGGAAAGCAAGACAGAAAUAGAAUGGAUUAUUGCAGAAAUCCAGACAAAGCUUAGGAUCCAGAGCCAAGCAUCAAUCCAAUUUGCUCCAAGGGGCUGUAAUUUAGCUGCUCAUCAUAUAGCAAAGAAAGUUUUAGACGUUGAAAAUCAGUGUAUUUGGCUGGAAAAUUUCCCAGUUCAUGUUUCAUUGUUACUGUCAAAGUUCUGUUAAUGGAAAGCUUUACUUCCUUAUCAAAAAAAAAAAAAAGGGAAAGUAAUCAAAGCAAAAAAGUAAAAAAGCAAAGAAUCAAUCAACGCCAAAGAAAAACAGUCAAAGCACAAAAGAAAUCAAAGAAAAACGCACCGUUUUGAUAAUUUUCGGGGCGCAGUUUC
Molecule: long non-coding RNA, 619 nt
Filed under: Citrus x clementina
Lineage: Eukaryota; Viridiplantae; Streptophyta; Magnoliopsida; Sapindales; Rutaceae
Description: Citrus clementina (C. clementina) long non-coding RNA (CCLE_LNC005185)
Source: RNAcentral